GACGAACGCUGGCGGCGUGCUUAACACAUGCAAGUCGAGCGGUAAGGCCCUUUCGGGGGUACACGAGCGGCGAACGGGUGAGUAACACGUGGGUGACCUGCCCUCAGCUCUGGGAUAAGCCUGGGAAACCGGGUCUAAUACUGGAUAUGACUCCAUGACGCAUGUUGUGGGGUGGAAAGCCUUGUGCGGCUGAGGAUGGGCCCGCGGCCUAUCAGCUUGUUGGUGGGGUGAGGCCUACCAAGGCGACGACGGGUAGCCGGCCUGAGAGGGCGACCGGCCACACUGGGACUGAGACACGGCCCAGACUCCUACGGGAGGCAGCAGUGGGGAAUCUUGCGCAAUGGGCGAAAGCCUGACGCAGCGACGCCGCGUGAGGGAUGACGGCCUGGUGUAC
RNAcentral lists this ribosomal RNA (394 nucleotides) under uncultured bacterium. RNAcentral describes it as "bacterial SSU rRNA". It matches the Rfam family "Bacterial small subunit ribosomal RNA", at positions 28 to 424 of the family's 1533-position model. The record is from RNAcentral.